AUUGAACGCUGGCGGCAGGCUUAACACAUGCAAGUCGAGCGGGGAGAUGUAGCUUGCUACAUUUCCUAGCGGCGGACGGGUGAGUAAUGCUUAGGAAUCUGCCUAUUAGUGGGGGACAACAUUCCGAAAGGAAUGCUAAUACCGCAUACGCCCUACGGGGGAAAGCAGGGGAUCUUCGGACCUUGCGCUAAUAGAUGAGCCUAAGUCAGAUUAGCUAGUUGGUGGGGUAAAGGCCUACCAAGGCGACGAUCUGUAGCGGGUCUGAGAGGAUGAUCCGCCACACUGGGACUGAGACACGGCCCAGACUCCUACGGGAGGCAGCAGUGGGGAAUAUUGGACAAUGGGCGCAAGCCUGAUCCAGCCAUGCCGCGUGUGUGAAGAAGGCCUUUUGGUUGUAAAGCACUUUAAGCGAGGAGGAGGCUACCUGGAUUAAUACUCUAGGAUAGUGGACGUUACUCGCAGAAUAAGCACCGGCUAACUCUGUGCCAGCCGCCGCAGUAA
RNAcentral lists this ribosomal RNA (501 nucleotides) under uncultured bacterium. RNAcentral's name for it is "partial 16S ribosomal RNA". It matches the Rfam family "Bacterial small subunit ribosomal RNA", at positions 30 to 523 of the family's 1533-position model. The record is from RNAcentral.